GCCUCGGUAGCUCAAUGGUAGAGCGAAGCCCUGAAGAGGCUUGCGUUGUCAGUUCGAUUCUGACCCGAGGCACCA
Molecule: transfer RNA, 75 nt
Filed under: Candidatus Doudnaibacteriota bacterium
Lineage: Bacteria; Candidatus Doudnaibacteriota
Description: Candidatus Doudnabacteria bacterium tRNA-Phe
Rfam family: tRNA
About the family: Transfer RNA (tRNA) molecules are approximately 80 nucleotides in length. Their secondary structure includes four short double-helical elements and three loops (D, anti-codon, and T loops). Further hydrogen bonds mediate the characteristic L-shaped molecular structure. tRNAs have two regions of fundamental functional importance: the anti-codon, which is responsible for specific mRNA codon recognition, and the 3' end, to which the tRNAs corresponding amino acid is attached (by aminoacyl-tRNA synthetases). tRNAs cope with the degeneracy of the genetic code in two manners: having more than one tRNA (with a specific anti-codon) for a particular amino acid; and 'wobble' base-pairing, i.e. permitting non-standard base-pairing at the 3rd anti-codon position.
Source: RNAcentral